RNAcentral lists this long non-coding RNA (414 nucleotides) under Trifolium pratense (red clover). RNAcentral's name for it is "long non-coding RNA (TPRA_LNC013485)". The record is from RNAcentral. Lineage: Eukaryota; Viridiplantae; Streptophyta; Magnoliopsida; Fabales; Fabaceae.
CCUAAUCUGGGGGAUACCAAUCCAGGAGGAAAUUCACUAUCAGCAGUAUUAAUUCAGAGCUAAACUCCCCCGUUUACAACUCCUCACUUAAUCCCUACCCAAUGCAACUUCUACCUAGGAACUCCUAGAUAUGAGACCCCGUCUCACUCCCCUCAACCUUACAACUAGUAAGGAUUUCGAUAACAACAGAAUGGAGACACUCUCCUUGACAAAGAUGAAGACACACUUCAAUAACAUCACCACCUAGCCAACGACUAAGUUCACAAUUUGGAGUUGCUUAAAAGCUUCCUCCAAGUACAAUACUCAACUCAUUACCUACAGGUUUCUGAGUGAGAACAUAGUGACCAUCUCACAACCCGAGUGGUUCACUUUACACCAACUCUCCUAGAGAGUGGCUUAAAGACACGAAACCCU